This 1343-nucleotide ribosomal RNA is filed under the name uncultured bacterium. RNAcentral's name for it is "16S ribosomal RNA". It matches the Rfam family "Bacterial small subunit ribosomal RNA", at positions 28 to 1378 of the family's 1533-position model. The record is from RNAcentral.
GACGAACGCUGGCGGCGUGCUUAACACAUGCAAGUCGAACGGAAAGGCCCUGCUUUUGUGGGGUGCUCGAGUGGCGAACGGGUGAGUAACACGUGAGUAACCUGCCCUUGACUUUGGGAUAACUUCAGGAAACUGGGGCUAAUACCGGAUAGGAGCUCCUGCUGCAUGGUGGGGUUUGGAAAGUUUCGGCGGUUGGGGAUGGACUCGCGGCUUAUCAGCUUGUUGGUGGGGUAGUGGCUUACCAAGGCUUUGACGGGUAGCCGGCCUGAGAGGGUGACCGGCCACAUUGGGACUGAGAUACGGCCCAGACUCCUACGGGAGGCAGCAGUGGGGAAUAUUGCACAAUGGGCGGAAGCCUGAUGCAGCAACGCCGCGUGCGGGAUGACGGCCUUCGGGUUGUAAACCGCUUUCGCCUGUGACGAAGCGUGAGUGACGGUAAUGGGUAAAGAAGCACCGGCUAACUACGUGCCAGCAGCCGCGGUGAUACGUAGGGUGCGAGCGUUGUCCGGAUUUAUUGGGCGUAAAGGGCUCGUAGGUGGUUGAUCGCGUCGGAAGUGUAAUCUUGGGGCUUAACCCUGAGCGUGCUUUCGAUACGGGUUGACUUGAGGAAGGUAGGGGAGAAUGGAAUUCCUGGUGGAGCGGUGGAAUGCGCAGAUAUCAGGAGGAACACCAGUGGCGAAGGCGGUUCUCUGGGCCUUUCCUGACGCUGAGGAGCGAAAGCGUGGGGAGCGAACAGGCUUAGAUACCCUGGUAGUCCACGCUGUAAACGGUGGGUACUAGGUGUGGGGUCCAUUCCACGGGUUCCGUGCCGUAGCUAACGCUUUAAGUACCCCGCCUGGGGAGUACGGCCGCAAGGCUAAAACUCAAAGGAAUUGACGGGGCCCCGCACAAGCGGCGGAGCAUGCGGAUUAAUUCGAUGCAACGCGUAGAACCUUACCUGGGUUUGACAUGGAUCGGGAGCGCUCAGAGAUGGGUGUGCCUCUUUUGGGGUCGGUUCACAGGUGGUGCAUGGCUGUCGUCAGCUCGUGUCGUGAGAUGUUGGGUUAAGUCCCGCAACGAGCGCAACCCUUGUUCACUGUUGCCAGCACGUUAUGGUGGGGACUCAGUGGAGACCGCCGGGGUCAACUCGGAGGAAGGUGGGGAUGACGUCAAGUCAUCAUGCCCCUUAUGUCCAGGGCUUCACGCAUGCUACAAUGGCUGGUACAGAGAGUGGCGAGCCUGUGAGGGUGAGCGAAUCUCGGAAAGCCGGUCUCAGUUCGGAUUGGGGUCUGCAACUCGACCUCAUGAAGUCGGAGUCGCUAGUAAUCGCAGAUCAGCAACGCUGCGGUGAAUACGUUCCCGGG